RNAcentral lists this ribosomal RNA (465 nucleotides) under Vreelandella stevensii. RNAcentral's name for it is "partial 16S ribosomal RNA". It matches the Rfam family "Bacterial small subunit ribosomal RNA", at positions 338 to 795 of the family's 1533-position model. The record is from RNAcentral. Lineage: Bacteria; Pseudomonadati; Pseudomonadota; Gammaproteobacteria; Oceanospirillales; Halomonadaceae.
CCUACGGGAGGCAGCAGUGGGGAAUAUUGGACAAUGGGCGAAAGCCUGAUCCAGCCAUGCCGCGUGUGUGAAGAAGGCCUUCGGGUUGUAAAGCACUUUCAGUGGGGAAGAAAGCCUUGGGGCUAAUACCCUCGAGGAAGGACAUCACCCACAGAAGAAGCACCGGCUAACUCCGUGCCAGCAGCCGCGGUAAUACGGAGGGUGCGAGCGUUAAUCGGAAUUACUGGGCGUAAAGCGCGCGUAGGCGGUCUGAUAAGCCGGUUGUGAAAGCCCCGGGCUCAACCUGGGAACGGCAUCCGGAACUGUCAGGCUAGAGUGCAGGAGAGGAAGGUAGAAUUCCCGGUGUAGCGGUGAAAUGCGUAGAGAUCGGGAGGAAUACCAGUGGCGAAGGCGGCCUUCUGGACUGACACUGACGCUGAGGUGCGAAAGCGCGGGUAGCAAACAGGAUUAGAUACCCUUGUAGUC